Molecule: ribosomal RNA, 445 nt
Filed under: uncultured bacterium
Lineage: Bacteria
Description: partial 16S ribosomal RNA
Rfam family: Bacterial small subunit ribosomal RNA
Source: RNAcentral
GUGAGGAAUAUUGCGCAAUGGAGGCAACUCUGACGCAGCCAUGCCGCGUGCAGGAAGAAGGCGCUACGCGUUGUAAACUGCUUUUAACCGGGAAGAAACCCCAGGACGUGUCCUGGGUUGACGGUACCGGAGGAAUAAGCACCGGCUAACUUCGUGCCAGCAGCCGCGGUAAUACGAAGGGUGCAAGCGUUAUCCGGAUUCAUUGAGUUUAAAGGGUGCGUAGGCGGAGCGUUAAGUCAGUGGUGAAAUCCUGCAGCUUAACUGUAGACUUGCCAUUGAUACUGGCGCUCUUGAGUGCGCUUGAAGUGGGCGGAAUGUGCCGUGUAGCGGUGAAAUGCUUAGAUAUGGCACAGAACACCAAUUGCGAAGGCAGCUCACUAAGGCGAUACUGACGCUGAGGCACGAAAGCGUGGGGAUCGAACAGGAUUAGAUACCCUAGUAGUCC